AGCGAACGCUGGCGGCAGGCUUCACACAUGCAAGUCGAGCGGGCAUCCUUUUGGUGUCUGCGGCAGCCGGGUGAGUAACGCGUGGGAACGUGCCCUUCAGUUCGCACUAACUCAUGGAAACUUGUGCUACUACCGGAUACGUGCGAGAGCAGAAAGGUUUAUCUGCCGAAGGAUCGGCGCGCGUCUGAUUAGCUCGUUGGUGAGGUUAUGGCUCACCAAGGCGCCGAUCAGUAGCUGGUCUGCGAGGAUGAUCAGAAACACUGGAGAUGAGACACGGCCCAGAAUCGUAGGGGAGGGAGCAGAGGGGAAUACAGGACAAGGGGGGCAAAGCUGAUGAAGCCAUGCGGGGUGAGUGAUGAGGGGGGUAGGGAAGUAAAGCUGUGUGCGACGGGACGAUAAUGACGGUACCGGAGGAAUAAGCACUGGCUAACUUCGCC
RNAcentral lists this ribosomal RNA (437 nucleotides) under uncultured bacterium. RNAcentral's name for it is "partial 16S ribosomal RNA". It matches the Rfam family "Bacterial small subunit ribosomal RNA", at positions 30 to 507 of the family's 1533-position model. The record is from RNAcentral.